UUUAGAAAAAACUAUACUGUUCAGUUCUUAAUUUGUAUAAUAACAGCAAAUUGCCGAUAAGUAACAAUAUAUACUAUUGUUUAGAAAGUGGUUACAAAAAUUAUGUAAAAAUGAAAUAUUUAUUCAAAGGAAAAUUCGGAUUUAUUGAAGUAAAGUAUUAUGCACAUAUUAAAAAAGUAUUUACAAUUAUUUUUAAAUGAUCUUAGUUUUAGUUUUAAAAUUUAAUUAAAAAUAAUUUAAGCUCCUAAAGAAACAUAAGCUUGUGUCUAAAGAACACAUCUGACUUUUGUAAUCCUCUCAUGCUAGUAUUCCUGCAGCUGCGCUAGACUUAUUUGAUUACAUGCUCGCCUUGGAUCCUAGUAAGCGCUGCACUGCUGAACAGGCUCUUCAGUGCGAGUUCCUCCGAGAUGUGGAACCCUCAAAAAUGCCUCCACCAGAUCUCCCUUUAUGGCAAGAUUGUCAUGAGUUAUGGAGUAAAAAGCGAAGAAGACAGAAGCAGAUGGGCAUGACUGAUGAUGUUUCCACAAUUAAAGCCCCCAGGAAGGACUUGUCUCUGGGCUUGGAUGACAGCAGAACCAACACACCCCAGGGUGUGCUGCCAUCUUCACAGCUGAAAUCUCAGGGCAGCUCAAAUGUGGCACCUGGUGAAAAACAGACAGAUCCAUCAACACCACAACAGGAGUCUUCGAAACCGUUGGGA
RNAcentral lists this small RNA (700 nucleotides) under Pan troglodytes (chimpanzee). RNAcentral describes it as "retained intron". Lineage: Eukaryota; Metazoa; Chordata; Mammalia; Primates; Hominidae. The record is from RNAcentral.